GGAGGGGUUCCCGAGUGGCCAAAGGGAUCAGACUGUAAAUCUGACGGCUCAGCCUUCGCAGGUUCGAAUCCUGCCCCCUCCA
Molecule: transfer RNA, 82 nt
Organism: Idiomarina loihiensis L2TR
Lineage: Bacteria; Pseudomonadati; Pseudomonadota; Gammaproteobacteria; Alteromonadales; Idiomarinaceae
Rfam family: tRNA
About the family: Transfer RNA (tRNA) molecules are approximately 80 nucleotides in length. Their secondary structure includes four short double-helical elements and three loops (D, anti-codon, and T loops).
Source: Rfam